UACGGGGGGGGCAAGCGUUGUUCGGAAUUACUGGGCGUAAAGGGCUCGUAGGUGGCCAACUAAGUCAGACGUGAAAUCCCUCGGCUUAACCGGGGAACUGCGUCUGAUACUGGAUGGCUUGAGUUUGGGAGAGGGACGCGGAAUUCCAGGUGUAGCGGUGAAAUGCGUAGAGAUGUGGAGGAACACCGAUGGCGAAGGCAGCCCCCUGGGGUAACACUGACGCUCAUGCACGAAAGCGUGGGGAGCAAACAGG
RNAcentral lists this ribosomal RNA (253 nucleotides) under uncultured bacterium. RNAcentral describes it as "partial 16S ribosomal RNA". It matches the Rfam family "Bacterial small subunit ribosomal RNA", at positions 524 to 776 of the family's 1533-position model. The record is from RNAcentral.